Molecule: ribosomal RNA, 411 nt
Filed under: Trichiurus japonicus (largehead hairtail)
Lineage: Eukaryota; Metazoa; Chordata; Actinopteri; Scombriformes; Trichiuridae
Description: partial 16S ribosomal RNA
Rfam family: Archaeal large subunit ribosomal RNA
Source: RNAcentral
CCGUGCGAAGGUAGCGUAAUCACUUGUCUUUUAAUGAGGACCCGUAUGAAUGACAAAACGAGGGCUCAACUGUCUCCUUCUUUCAGUCAAUGAAUUGAUCUCCCCGUGCAGAAGCGGGGAUUAAUCCAUAAGACGAGAAGACCCUAUGAAGCUUUAGACACUAGGACAUACCCUGUCAAUACCCCCUUAUUAAAGGGCCAAAACCUGCCCCCAUGUCCCCGUCUUAGGUUGGGGCGACCCCGGGGAACAAAAAACCCCCACGUGGAACAGUAACUCACUACCACAGCCGAGAGCCACCACUCCAAAAACCAGAACCUCUGACCAAUAUGACCCGGAAUGCCAUCAACGAACAAGUUAUCUAGGAUAACAGCGCAAUCCCCUUUUUAGAGACCGCAUCAACAAGGGGUUUAC